This 336-nucleotide ribosomal RNA is filed under the name uncultured bacterium. Its description in RNAcentral is "bacterial SSU rRNA". It matches the Rfam family "Bacterial small subunit ribosomal RNA", at positions 1001 to 1333 of the family's 1533-position model. The record is from RNAcentral.
CCGAAAGGCAUGAGUGCCUGCAAGGGAGCGCGGAGACAGGUGGUGCAUGGCUGUCGUCAGGACGGAUCGUGAGACGCUGGGUUAAGUCCCGCAACGAGCGCAACCCUCACCUCGAGUCGCCAUCAGGUCGAGCUGGGCACUCUAGAGGAACUCUCCCGGUCAGCGGGGAGGAAGUCGGGGAUGCAGUCAGCUCGUCAGGCUCCCUGCGUGGAAGGCGGCCCGCGAGCUCCAAUCACCGGAACAAAGGGACGCCACACCGCGAGGUAGACAGAAACCCCAAAAGCCGGUCUAAGUUCGGAUGGGAGUCUGCAACUGGACUCCAUGAAGGAGGAAUCA